UGGGGAAUAUUGCACAAUGGGCGCAAGCCUGAUGCAGCCAUGCCGCGUGUAUGAAGAAGGCCUUCGGGUUGUAAAGUACUUUCAGCGGGGAGGAAGGGAUGAUGUUUAAUACGCAUCGUCAUUGACGUUACCCGCAGAAGAAGCACCGGCUAACUCCGUGCCAGCAGCCGCGGUAAUACGGAGGGUGCAAGCGUUAAUCGGAAUUACUGGGCGUAAAGCGCACGCAGGCGGUCUGUCAAGUCGGAUGUGAAAUCCCCGGGCUUAACCUGGGAACUGCAUUCGAAACUGGCAGGCUGGAGUCUUGUAGAGGGGGGUAGAAUUCCAGGUGUAGCGGUGAAAUGCGUAGAGAUCUGGAGGAAUACCGGUGGCGAAGGCGGCCCCCUGGACAAAGACUGACGCU
This 400-nucleotide ribosomal RNA is filed under the name uncultured bacterium. Its description in RNAcentral is "bacterial SSU rRNA". It matches the Rfam family "Bacterial small subunit ribosomal RNA", at positions 355 to 747 of the family's 1533-position model. The record is from RNAcentral.